CGGGUGUGCCUCGCCGUCCCGCGGGACCUCUCCACCGUGUUCCGGUCGAUGCCCAUGCCCGUGACCGCCGAGAAGCGGAUCCGGGCGUCGUGAUGGUGAUGCUGCGAUCUGGUCGACGCCCAUGCCCGUCCCGGUUCGGCCGAUUGAUCUCCUGGAGAAUUCUCCCAGUCCGCUUGCUUCUUCCUCUUCUCCUCUCCUCUCCUGGGUUCGUGGCCAUGGUAAAUUAUGAGUCAGUCUCAUCAUAUACAUAAAUAAGGUGUUGUUCUUUGUAGUAGUAUGCGUGCUUCCUUCUGCCAUGGCUCUGUGAAAUUCUCAUGCAAGCUGUAUAAUAAGGUAGGUUGUUAAUUACUGGGCGGAAGUGGUUAAGGGCGGAAGAAGGUUGUAAGAAAAUUCAGAGAGAUCCUGGUAAAUUAAUUAAUUAAUUAUGAUAGCCAGUACCAGAAUUGUGCAAUUAUCUUCAGUUCCUCUGUGUUCCAAUUCAGCCAGAAUCCUCUUGUUGCUAAUCGAUCGCCGCCCAGAACAUCCAUGGCGGAUGCGCGCGGCCGGCUGUCUGCUGCUGCUGCUGCGUGAAGGGCGAGACGAGGCGACUAAUCAAUUCGGGUGGAUAGAUCCACCGUUUCUCGCAAAUUAAUUCGGAUGCCAUGUCCGGUAAUCCAUGGAGAUUUGGGUGUGGCGGGUGUGCUUUCUGGUGGCGCCGCUGUCCGGCCCGAUGCCGAGAGAGAACAGACACGGAGAAUCUUCCAUGCUAAUCGGGACAUGACACAGCUUCCUUCCCCCUCUCUCCUUUUCUCUUCUCCGGCCGGUCCAGUGGUGAAUUAUUUUCUCUUCUGAAGAUCUUGGUUUGUCUCUACCGUAACAGCCUGCACGUACUGCGCAGUGCGCGCCUCCAAAAUCCGGCAGUCUUAAUUUGUCCCUACCGUAACAGUGUGCAUGAUGUAGUGUACUGCAAAUUCUACCUACUGUGUAGCUGGUUAACCCCUCUGUCCAUGUUCAUCCACACGCACAGAUGAAAAACAUCCAUUCAGUUGUUAGUCUCUGGUUCUCUGAAGUUGCCGGUGGAGUAUAUGACAAGUGAAAUAAAUCCAGAGCUUCCAGUCGUAGGAACAGACGGCAUGCAGGCGACGUAUACAGGGCCAUCGUCCAGAGUCUGCCCUCAGGGGCUUUUUGUCCGGUGCUGCAUUUGGUCACCACGGCUUCUGGCCUUACUGCAAGCCGUAACUGGCCGGCAGUAACACACACCACAUGUGGCCACCUGUCUGCCACACCGUAUAGUCAGUACUAGGUGCCUUGAGUGCCAUGAAAACCAAGGUCCAAGAACUUGAUACAUACCGAGUGAUUUUUUUCUUCAGUUCAGUUGUUGGUAGCAGCCGCACACAUAAUUUUCUUUCACUUCACCCAACCCAGACCCAAAACAUGGGCUUGCCUCUGGGAGAAGGCGGGCACACGGUGAUGAGUGAUGAGAUGGGCUAAAGUUGGUGCCCGCGUCACAUGGGUUGUUCGUUACUUGCAGUUGCAGUUACCGGCGGUGCUGUUGCCCCGAGGAACAGGCCUCGGUGCGCUUUUAUCAGUCAGUCCUGCUCCUAGGAGCAGCCGGUGAGCUGACGCCGCCGGCAGCCGGCAGAUCAGAUCAUGCGCCCCCCGAAUCUACCUUUCUUUACAUAGUUUUCCGGCCUUUUUCUACUCGUCCGUGGAAUCUCCUCACUUCUUUUUUUACUGUCGGCGGUGUCACCAGUUGACGAUAUGAUAUGCCGGUAUACCGGUGGUAAACAGUAAAGUAAUGGUCAGCAGGUAUGUCGUGACGGCACGUCGGAGACACAGUGGAUUUUCAGGAUCAUUUUUUAUUUUAAGAUGAUUUUAGAAUCGGUUAGGAAGGAAGGGAGGUUGAUAAAAAGUAAACUCGCAUUGGCGGAGUCAAAUGGGGGCCCAAGGACACGCGAGAUUCUUCGGAUCCUGGGGGUGGGUAGAACGUUUUCCGUCGAGACUUUCCAACGGUAAAAAAUAGGAAAUUCUUCCUCCGGCCGUUGCCUGGACCUCCAGCAGUUUCUUGCGGUAAUUAAGAGGCACCAUGCAUGGCCAGGCACAGGCAAAUGCUCUGUGAUCGCGGUUGUAGUAGUACUCCCUCCGUUCUUAAAUAUAAGUCUUUUUAGUCACUUCAAAUGGACAACAACAUAUGAAUGUAUGUAAAUAUAUUUUAUAGCGUAGUUUCACUCAUUUUACUUCGUAUGUAGUCAUUUGUUGAAAUCUUUAUAAAGACUUAUAUUUGAGAACAGAGGGAGUAAUUAAACGCAGCUUUGGCUGGAUCUCUAUCUACCUAGUACUACGUUUCCUGUGGUAAUUAAAAGACAGCUCGUGCAUGGCCGGGCAAACGCUGUGCGAUCGUGGUAAUUAACAGCACAUUUGUCAGUAGUAUGUUUCUUCAGUUCUUAUCGAUGGCGCCCGCGUGUCAGGUCCGGUGUGGCUGCCUGCAUCAGGAGGCAUGUUGUGUGCACGAUGCAGGCAGCUUUUCAACUAAGAUUCUCCGGUCCGGCAAUCAGUGUGCGCAAGACUGUAAUGGCUAUAACAUAAUUCUGAAGAAACUAACCGUCCGGAUUACUAAUCUUAGUAAAAAAGAAAGGAGUUGCAGACGGCUGUGUGAGGACGACGUCGACCGAUCGAGCCCAACGGAGAAGAAGCGGCACUAUAAAAUACGCGCGGCAGCACAGCGGCUGCUCGUCGCCACCCAGCUUAUAUAAUAAAACUGAACUCAUGGAUCGGCCGAUCGAUCCCCCGUGGUAUACUUUAAACUGCUCCGCGGUUGCGUUUUGACCUUUUUCACUGCUAUAAAGUGUGGUUCGUGGCAGCUACAUGCGACGGAUUUUGCUUUAAGUGUGAAUGAAUGUCAGAGGCAGGCAGCCGCUGCCUGCACCAAGAGGCAUGUUGUGUGACGUACAGUACAUGACUAACUUAUUUUUUUACUGCGAUUCUUGGGAGAUAAUGUCAGGAACAGGGUGACAAAUAUAAUCGCUGCUCAGUCUCUGAAAGACUGAAACCAACUCCGAUCCUCUGUAUUAAUUGUUCAGCUACGCAUAUGUCAGGACCUGUCUAAUUCUGAACCCCAAACCAGUUCUGUAGUAGCAGUAUAAGAUAUGCAGCCUGUCAUCAGCGGCUCUGCCUAGUUUAUUAUACUCUACAUACGGGCUGAUCCCCCCCACCAAAUAUAGUACCGGCAAACAUAUAAAAGGGCAGUGGGUAACAGUGGCAACAUUUUUCACCUUCGUCCGGUGGAAUCCGAGCACAGUGUGCGUUGGUUCAUGCUCAUAGAGAAGCUAGCUAUAUGGCUUUUACCUCUAGGGCAGGCUAUUUGUAAACACAGCAGGGAGGGAUUGAGCAGUAAAUCGACAUGACUAGACACAAUAAUAAACACUGGGUUAAUUAGGCAGCUAGCCAUGGUAGAUCCAGACGUGGCCGCUUUACUCGGGCAGCCCAGUACCGCUAGCUGCGACUGAACUCACCCACCGUCACCGGCCGCUUUAAGCUUUGCUACAGUGACCAACCACCUUCCUUGCAAGAUAAGCCAGCCAUCAGCUGGCAGCCAAGGGCAUCUCCCCUUGAUUAGCUGCACGGUUUCUAUCUUUCUUCUUCUGUUGCUAUGUAUUUUUUCCUUUUCUUCUGAAUGCAAGUUAUUGUUCAGUUCUUGGGAACUUCCUUUCCAUGAUAAUUCCUUUACCUAUCUUGUAGACUACCUACCUAUGCCGUAUCCGUGAAGGCUCCAAGUGGCAAACCCUGCCACUGCCGUUUCUGUUUUUCAGAGACAAAUGGACUUCCAAAUGGCACAAGAGUAUGGUGCAGUUGCUUUCUGGGCCCCCAUUUCACAGGCUUCCGUUUCACUCAGAUAUACCAGCAGCAUACCGCAAGGCUGAAGCAGAGAUGAAACCGUCAGGGUUUGGUGAUCAGAAAUUAAGGAGGCACACAUUGCAGGCCCCUGCACGCAAAGUUGCUUCAUAGAAUCCUUUUUUUUUAUUUUUUGGAAAAAGUUAGAUAGCAGUAACUUGGCUUGGUAUAUAAAACACUGGAAUUAGAGCAACUCCAACGCGUCGACCCAAAUGGACGGGGAUUUUGUCCGUUUGGGUCGGCUGCCCGCUCGGCGUCCGCCCUGUUUAUUUUCUGGGUCGGCAGUGCGUCCAACGCGCCGACCCAUAUUUGCCGGCGUGGCCGCCGUUUUCAACAAAUAUGCACACAUUUUACAUAGUUUCACAAGCAAACAAAAAUAGGAUAGUUUCACAACCAAAUAAAUUUAGCAUAGUUUUACAAGCCGAAUAAAAAUUAAGUUGUCUCAAAUAAAUGUGAAAAAAAGAUACAUCUAUUGCUUGCCAACAUGAGCCCACAUAUGCUCAACC
Molecule: long non-coding RNA, 4376 nt
Filed under: Triticum aestivum (bread wheat)
Lineage: Eukaryota; Viridiplantae; Streptophyta; Magnoliopsida; Poales; Poaceae
Description: long non-coding RNA (TAES_LNC009002)
Source: RNAcentral